This 245-nucleotide ribosomal RNA is filed under the name uncultured bacterium. RNAcentral's name for it is "partial small subunit ribosomal RNA". It matches the Rfam family "Bacterial small subunit ribosomal RNA", at positions 26 to 285 of the family's 1533-position model. The record is from RNAcentral.
AGAAUCAACGCUGGCGGCGUGCCUAACACAUGCAAGUCGAACGAGAAAGGGACUUCGGUCCUGAGUACAGUGGCGCACGGGUGAGUAACACGUGACUAACCUACCCUGGAGUGGGGAAUAACUGAGGGAAACCUUAGCUAAUGCCGCAUAAUACCUACGGGUCAAAGGAGCAAUUCGCUUCAGGAGGGGGUCGCGGCCGAUUAGCUAGUUGGCGGGGUAAUGGCCCACCAAGGCAAUGAUCGGUA